CAUGACGAAAGGAAAACAACGGACUCUAUACCGAACAAAGUUUUGGUCAAAUGAAAGAAACGUCUGAUAAACGACGAUGUAUCCCUGGUAUGCUUGGUACUGUACUCCUAGUAUGUUCAACAAUGUACUCCUUGUAAUUGAUCUCGAGUUUCCUGUUUUCUAUUUUGAAAUUAACACUCCUAUGUAUCGUACCGCUAUGUGCGCAUACAUACAAAUAAAAGUGCUUUACUAACUGAAAGGAUACUUUUAUACUAUGAUCCCCCAUGGUACCACUACCAUCGCCCGUCAUAUACAAGUUGUGAAUACUUAAGAUGAUUCAGGCAGUCGACUGAGCAUCUCUGCCUCAAAUCCUCAACCAAUUAAGGAAAGGGGACCUAAGCAGAGUCGCUCACUCUAGGUCUGCAACAUCUCAGUUGCGCACAACCCUGAUGUAUAUGGUGAGUCAUAAUAGCUUCUCUAAGGGAUCUUUUAAUUCUCUUGAAUAUUACGACCUAUUUCAACAUGUGAGUUGUUAUAGUUACUUUUAAGUGUCAUCCCCAAAUUUUAAUCUUAUAUGAAUAUAAAUUAAUUUUUAAAAGUAAGUACUAUUUUGAAAACGUACCACUACUCGACGACGACUCCGAGGUAGAUUCUCCUGCGGUGAUCAUCAGAAUACGUCCAUCCGCGCCUGAGUUCUUGAUUAUUGGGCAGUCCCUCUUAAUGUGUCCAUUCUCACCACAGCCAUAACAGGCUCGGUUUUCUUCAGCUCCGAGGACUUGGGAGAUCGGUUGAGCCGGUGCCCUGCAGUAACGGACUGUGUGUCCCUUUUUGUGGCAGUUCAGACACUGCAUUUCUCGGCACACUCCAGUGUGGUGAAAGUUGCACUUUCCACACUUUGGAAGGUUUCCAGCAUAACGACUGGCAGAUGCUGAAGCAGUAGGCGUCGUAGCGGCGUACAUAGUACUCGCUUGUUGCUCUUGUGGGAUGUCUUGUGUUGUUCGCUUCUUCUUUCUCUUGUUCUCCGACUCUUGAUUAUAGUCCUCUUCCCUUGAUGACUCGGGAAUAGGGACUUUUACGCUGUGGCGGACUCCAUGAUCGAUGAGUCGUUGAGCCAAGCGUUUAGCACUAUCGAACGUGGCUGGGUUAGAAGACAACACAUUUCCUUGGGUCGAAGCAGUCAGACCCCAAAUGUAUCUCUCUAUCUUCUUUUUUUCCGAGGUAAACCUCCCCGGGGCAUAGAGCUGCCAGUUCGCUGAACCGGUCCGUGUAGGUCACUAUGUCUGAGCCGACCAUAGUGAGAUCCCACAGCUCUUGUUCCGGUUUUUGAAUCUCGCCUAACGGGCAAUAUUCUUCCCGCAUUAACUCCUUUAGGUUUUCCCAACCUAUGGAGUUUGCCACUGAUAGGGUCAGUGACUUAACAUGGCUGUUCCACCAUGUUAGGGCCUUGCCAUAGAAGAUGCAGGCAGCAAACUUCACUUUGCUUCCUUCGGGGCAUAAAUAGAUUUCGAAGACCGAAUCUGUUUUCUCGAACCAUUGUAGGAGGGCAAUGACUCCUUCAGUCCCUUUAAAGGAUAGUGGUUGGCAUCUGGUGAAGUCCUUGUAGGAGAACUCUCCCUGGCGCACAGGGACCUCACCAUGAGUAGAAUCGGUAGGCGCUUCGCCUGCACCUGUACUGGUGGAGUGAUAUUGUGCCAUGGUUGUUGCCACAGCCGCAGCCACUGCAGCGUUCAGAGUUGCUGCAUCGAUUUGUGGAGAAGGUAUGGGAGUUAUCGAAGUAGCGUGUCUGGGUGAUCUGCGAGGAGGCAUCUUUGCUAAAAGAAAACAAAGAUGAGACGGAAUAAGUCUAUAGCAACGGACACAAGUCGAAAGCUGAAAAGACAAAGUUAUCCUAGUUCUAGAUGUAUUGUGUCCUUACUUCCAUAGGGUUCUAGGAACAAUUCAUAAAUGAGUCUAUACCUAAUAAACUCUAUGAAUUUGAAAUAACUAUCCUCGAAUGAAUAUCUGUUUCCUGAAUAACUAUUACCAGAUGUAUGUAUGAAAAUAAUUCUAACACAUGAAAUGUGAGCAGUGUUUCCACUCGCUCGCUAAAUUAACCUAGUUAAUAUUUAUUAGUGUGACGCGUAAGACGUUUUUGGUUACUUCGGCUGAUAUUUCCUUGAAAUCUUCUCAUUGGUUUGUCCUUGUUCCUCCUGAACUCUUCUGUUGUCUACUAUGAGGAAGUCGUUACGUUUAUUUGGGCUUGUCGUGUGAGAAUGAAAGUGACUAAAGAACCUAUGAGCUUUAAGGUAACUUUAUGGGGUGAUCCUUACGGAAUCUUCCUAUAAUUAUACUAGGUAUACCAAUUGGUAUUGUAUAUAAUUAAAGAUCAAAUAGACCUUCGAACAAUUGAUCCCACCUCAACACUACUUCCUUAAAAGGAAUGGAUAGCGAAGCGUCGGUCACAGAUUCUAUGUCUAUAAGAUCUUGAUUAUAUAUAAAACUUUAUGAAUAUACCCUGUAAGAUUAUAGACCUAUCCGCAAGGGUCUUUUAAGUUAUCACAUAAGUUAUGUAUCUAGACUAAAAUACUCCUAUAGUAUCCUAACGUAAUGUACUUGUUAUGUUCUAACCUUGUUAUCGCGCUAUCGUAUCAUAGAAUACUCCCAUAGUACUCUAACACUAACUGUACUUGUCCUGGCGUUCUCUUGACUGGUGUUCUGCUAAGUUUUAACCCUGUUGGAAACUCACUAUUAUACUUUUACAAUAAAUGGUUUUCAAAGAUGAAAAUGAUAUGUUUCUUAAAGGUUUUCACUUACAACGUAUUUCUGGAAAAUAUAGGAUUUUCUAGGAUUUUUUACCACUUAUGAUUGUAAAGUUGCAGCUUUUCAUACUAUCGGUUAUAAUGCUUUUAUACAAAAACUCACACUAAAUUCUUAUGAACUCACCAACUUUAUGCUGAUAUUCGUUUUCAAAAUAACUUGUAUCCUCAGGUCAAAGAUAGACAGGUACAAGUGCGGCAUUUUGGAGAAGGUGGAGCAUACAAGAUCCAUCUCUUAUUUUUGUAAUACUUUUGGUACUUGUUAAACAUUAUAAAACACACUUGUAAUUAAACUCGCUAUGUAAUGCAAUGGUUGUAUGUUUCUUGUUUUUACUAUUAUGCAACUGUGAUGGUACUGUACAUGACGUCCUCCACCCCGAAACGUAUUCCGCCGUUAUCAGUUUUGGGGUGUGACACUCUGCCUCAAAUCCUCAACCAAUUAAGGAAAGGGGACCUAAGCAGAGUCGCUCACUCUAGGUCUGCAACAUCUCAGUUGCGCACAACCCUGAUGUAUAUGGUGAGUCAUAAUAGCUUCUCUAAGGGAUCUUUUAAUUCUCUUGAAUA
Molecule: long non-coding RNA, 3338 nt
Filed under: Lactuca sativa (garden lettuce)
Lineage: Eukaryota; Viridiplantae; Streptophyta; Magnoliopsida; Asterales; Asteraceae
Description: long non-coding RNA (LSAT_LNC002160)
Source: RNAcentral